CCUACGGGUGGCAGCAGUGGGGAAUAUUGGGCAAUGGGCGCAAGCCUGACCCAGCAACGCCGCGUGAAGGAUGAAGGUUUUCGGAUUGUAAACUUCUGUCGCGAGGGACGAAGAAUGACGGUACCUCGUAAGAAAGCCCCGGCUAACUACGUGCCAGCAGCCGCGGUAAUACGUAGGGGGCAAGCGUUGUCCGGAAUGACUGGGCGUAAAGGGAGUGUAGGCGGCUUAUCAAGUUAGCGGUAAAAUCGUGGAGCUCAACUCCAUCCAGCCGUUGAAACUGAUGAUCUUGAGUGGGCGAGAAGUAUGCGGAAUGCGUGGUGUAGCGGUGAAAUGCAUAGAUAUCACGCAGAACUCCGAUUGCGAAGGCAGCAUACCGGCGCCCGACUGACGCUGAAGCACGAAAGCGUGGGUAUCGAACAGGAUUAGAUACCCUAGUAGUC
Molecule: ribosomal RNA, 440 nt
Filed under: uncultured bacterium
Lineage: Bacteria
Description: partial 16S ribosomal RNA
Rfam family: Bacterial small subunit ribosomal RNA
Source: RNAcentral